Molecule: ribosomal RNA, 253 nt
Filed under: uncultured bacterium
Lineage: Bacteria
Description: partial 16S ribosomal RNA
Rfam family: Bacterial small subunit ribosomal RNA
Source: RNAcentral
UACGUAGGGGGCAAGCGUUAUCCGGAUUUACUGGGUGUAAAGGGAGCGUAGACGGCGGUGCAAGUCUGAAGUGAAAGGCGGGGGCCCAACCCCCGGACUGCUCUGGAAACUGUGCUGCUGGAGUGCAGGAGAGGCAAGUGGAAUUCCUAGUGUAGCGGUGAAAUGCGUAGAUAUUAGGAGGAACACCAGUGGCGAAGGCGGCUUGCUGGACUGUAACUGACGUUGAGGCUCGAAAGCGUGGGGAGCAAACAGG